GUGCCUCAAUCUAUUGAGUAAGGAAAUUAUUGGGCCUUGGUGAUUCUUGGCUUAUGCCCCAAACGGGGCGAAUGGAUUUUUGAACGGGUAAAGGUCGUCCCACGUGUUACUUCGCCUACUUUGCAAGCGACUCGGGUGAAGCGAUCUGCCUG
Molecule: small nuclear RNA, 152 nt
Organism: Plodia interpunctella (Indianmeal moth)
Lineage: Eukaryota; Metazoa; Arthropoda; Insecta; Lepidoptera; Pyralidae
Product: U12 minor spliceosomal RNA
Exons: 1
Source: RefSeq, a predicted model, not a curated record